This 29-nucleotide non-coding RNA is filed under the name Rattus norvegicus (Norway rat). Lineage: Eukaryota; Metazoa; Chordata; Mammalia; Rodentia; Muridae. The record is from RNAcentral.
UGCUAUUUUGGGUUUUCCUUUAAGGUGUG